GAUGUCCCCAAAGACCCCAAAUAUCCCUGUCCCCAAACAUCCCCGGAUGUCCCCAAGUGUCCCCAAAUGUCCCCAGAGGUCCCCAAAUAUCCCCGUCUGCAAGUGUCCCAAAUGUCCCCAAGUGUCCCUAAAGUGUCCCCAAAUAUCCCCAUCCCCAAAUGUCCCCAUCCCCAGUUUCCCCAGAUGUCCCCAAAGGUCCCCUGUGUCCCCAAAUAUCCCCAUCCCCAAUGUCCCCAGAUGUCCCCAAGUGCCCCAGAUGUCCCCAAAGGCCCCCAAUGUCCCCAAAUAUCCCCAUCCCCUACUGUCCCCAGAUGUCCCCAAAGGUCCCCAAGCAUCCCCAGUGUCCCCAAAUAUCCCUGUCCCCAAGUGUCCCCGGAUGUCCCCAAACAUCCCCAUCCUCAAACACCUCCAGAUGUCCCCAAGUGUCCCCAGAUGUUCCCAAAUGCCCCCAAGGUCCCCAAAUGUCCCCAUCCCCAAUGUCCCCAGAUGUCCCCAAAGGUCCCCAAACAUCCCCAGUGUCCCCAAAUAUCCCCUUCCCCAAAUGUCCCCAAAUGUCCCCAAGUGUCCCCACAUGUCCCGAAGUGCCCGAUAUCCCCAAAGGUCUCCAAUGUCCCCAAAUAUCCCCAUCCCCUAGUGUCCCUAAAGCUUCCCAAACGUCCCCAGAUGUCCCCAAACAUCCCCAGUGUCCCCAAAUAUCCCGGUUCCCAAUGUCCCCAAGUGUCCCCAAAUGUCCCCAGAUGUCCCCAAAUGUCCCUAAUGUCCCCAAAGUCCCCAGAUAUCCCCAUCCCCUAGUGUCCCCAAAGGUCCCCAAACAUCCCCAAAGGUCCCCAGUGUCCCCAAAUAUCCCCAUCCCCAAUGUCCCCAAAUAUCCCCAGAUGUCCCCAAUGUCCCCAAAUGUCCCCCAGUGUCCCCAGUGUCCCCGCUCACGGCCAGCACGGCGCCAUCGCAGAUGACGAGGUAUCCCAGCUGGUCGGGGACGCGCUCCAGGCCCUGCGUCAGCGCCGUCGUCUGGGGACGGGGGGGACA
RNAcentral lists this long non-coding RNA (1026 nucleotides) under Anas platyrhynchos platyrhynchos (common mallard). RNAcentral describes it as "lncRNA (ENSAPLG00000027623.1)". The record is from RNAcentral. Lineage: Eukaryota; Metazoa; Chordata; Aves; Anseriformes; Anatidae.